ACCAGUGUGGUGUAGUGGUUUGAAUGUUGGACUACAACUCUGGAGGCCAGGGUUCGAUUCCUGUCUCAGCCA
This is a non-coding RNA of Phrynosoma platyrhinos (Desert horned lizard), 72 nucleotides long. The record is from the annotation of a GenBank genome assembly. NCBI's taxonomy places the organism in Eukaryota, Metazoa, Chordata, Lepidosauria, Squamata, Phrynosomatidae.